Molecule: small nucleolar RNA, 214 nt
Organism: Bos grunniens (domestic yak)
Lineage: Eukaryota; Metazoa; Chordata; Mammalia; Artiodactyla; Bovidae
Gene: U3
Rfam family: Small nucleolar RNA U3
About the family: Small nucleolar RNAs (snoRNAs) are involved in the processing and modification of rRNA in the nucleolus. There are two main classes of snoRNAs: the box C/D class, and the box H/ACA class.
Source: Ensembl
AAAAAUAAACUAUAUGUUCAGGGAUCAUUUCUAUAGUUCGUUACUGGAGAAGUUUCUCUGAACCUGCAGAGCACCAGAAACCAUGAGAAGGAGAUGCAGCUUUCUCUCCCGAGUGUGAAGCCGGCUCGGUGUUGCUUCUGCAGCUAUUAGCCACUGAUAAUCGUUCUUCUCUUCCUUUUGGAGAGUAAGAGGGAGAGGGUGUAGUUUGAGUGGU